RNAcentral lists this unclassified non-coding RNA (323 nucleotides) under soil metagenome. RNAcentral's name for it is "partial contains 5.8S ribosomal RNA, internal transcribed spacer 2, and large subunit ribosomal RNA". The stretch from base 1 to 120 matches the Rfam family "5.8S ribosomal RNA", at positions 35 to 154 of the family's 154-position model. The record is from RNAcentral.
GAUGAAGAACGUAGCGAAAUGCGAUAAGUAAUGCGAAUUGCAGAAUUCAGUGAGUCAUCGAAUCUUUGAACGCACAUUGCGCCCUGUGGUAUUCCGCAGGGCAUGCCUGUUCGAGCGUCAUUUCAACCCUCAAGCUCUGCUUGGUGUUGGGCCCUGCCCGCUGCGGCCGGCCCUAAAGACAGUGGCGGUGCCGCCUGGCCCUGAGCGUAGUACAUCUCUCGCUCCAGUGCCCGGUGGUAGCCCGCCAGAACCCCAACUCUCGUGGUUGACCUCGGAUCAGGUAGGGAUACCCGCUGAACUUAAGCAUAUCAAUAAGCGGAGGA